GUGUAUGUGAGAACUUUGCUGUUGCAUCUUAUUUUAUACACAUUACACCUUAAUGACAACACAGCCUAAUGUAUAAAUACAUACAUUUCUCAGAAUCAGAAUUCAUACAGUUAAAAAUAUAGGGGCUACAAUGUCUGUCAAUGCACAGCAGCCUUAAUACUCACAAUUGAAUAUAGAAUAGAACAGGUAUAGCCAACCCUGGUCCUCGAGAACCACUGCCCUGCUUGUUUUCCAGCUGUCCCUGCCCUUCCAGCUUCUGAUUGACAACUGAUCCAUUACUAAUCAGCAGUAUGUAAGGCAUGGAUCGUUAGAAAACAAGCAGGGCAGUGGCUUUCGAAGAUCAGGGUUGGCUGCCUUGGAUUUACUCAACGUUAAUGAUUAUAUGGCUACAGUAAUUGAUGAUGUAGAAUUGGACAGACAGACAUUGGCAGACAUUCUUGUUAAAACUGCCUUCAAUAAUGUACACAAUGGUCCUGAAACUCUAAUAACAGCAUUUCCUAAUGUUGUGUUGCUACUUGACAGCUGCAUUGCGGAGAGAGCACAGAAGUGAGGGUGGCACCAGACCCUCACGGAGCGCUUACCCUAUGUCAACUGCAAUCUUGCUCUUCAGUUUUUGCAGCCCUAUAUUCACCGAAAUCAGCAGGCAAUGAAGACUGAUUUAGGUUCUAAAAAAACAGUCAAGCCUAAUGCCCUGCGUAAACACAAAAUGUGACAGCAAGUGUCAUGUUCACUUUUGGAGUUUAAGUAGUCUUGUUUGAAGGGUGUGUGUAUAUAUUAAUGUGCUGAUUUUUCUUUCAGGAUUCCAAAGGAAGGUCUUUUUUCAUGCUGUUUGGUUUAAAAGAUGAACUUGAGCGAAUAUCUGCCAUUCUGGACCCUGGCAAGUCUACAUCAUCUUUUAAAAGACUGGAUUAAGAGAGUGACCUAAAAUCCUUUGAAGAAUACAUCAAAGAUGAUGAAAAGAAGUGGAUCUGUGUUCAGCAACUGUCCAGAGUUGGUGGAUCUUCUGUCAGGGACUGCGUUAACCAAAUCAUGAACAGAGUCAUGUCAAAUGCCUUAAUGGCCAAAUUCAAUAUGAGGGGUGGUGGCCAACUUGACAAAAAGCCUUUCAAAGCUACAGCUUUGUACUAUGUAAUUCAAGAUAUGCUCUAAAGAGGUGGAGUCCAACUGCCACAGAUUCCGAAAUUGACACAGCAAUGGCGGAACACCUAAAACAUGCUCCAGGAUAAGCUGGGGGUGGUGGCUAUAAGAAAUGAGCUGUGCUACAGAAAUGUGCUAUAGUAAACAUUUUGAAAUAAUAGUAAAUAAAUAAAGAUUAUAAAUAUA
Long non-coding RNA from Labeo rohita (rohu), 1323 nucleotides. RefSeq lists it as uncharacterized. Lineage: Eukaryota; Metazoa; Chordata; Actinopteri; Cypriniformes; Cyprinidae. The transcript is spliced from 6 exons. The record is from RefSeq and is a predicted model, not a curated record.